RNAcentral lists this ribosomal RNA (257 nucleotides) under uncultured bacterium. Its description in RNAcentral is "partial 16S ribosomal RNA". It matches the Rfam family "Bacterial small subunit ribosomal RNA", at positions 524 to 776 of the family's 1533-position model. The record is from RNAcentral.
UACAGAGACCUCAAACGUUAUCCGGAAUUAUUGGGCGUAAAGCGUACCGACAGGUGGUUAAGUAAGCCAAGCGUGAAAUAUCCGAGCUCAACUCGGGGACUGUCGUUUGGAACUGCUUGACUAGAGGGACAAAGAGGAAGCUGGAACCAGCGGUGUAGUAGUGAAAUGCGUUGAUAUCGCUGGGAACACCGAUAGCGAAGGCGGGCUUCUGGGUGUCACCUGACACUGCUAGGACGAAAGCGUGGGGAGCGAAUGGG